UCGCUUCAAAAUAUCUCAUCUCGCUCUACAAUCAUAAAAGGAACAUUAUCUUGAAAUCAUAGGGAAAAAAUAAUCUAGCAUGCUCUCUGUAAUAGGAGCAGCACCGCAACCUGGAGCAAGAUAUUUUUCUAUUUUAACAAAUUUUAUAUAAAAAAUAAUUUUUAUAUUAUCUAUUAAUGUGUAUCUAUCCGUACCAUAAUAUUUUUAAAUAUUAUGGAAUUAGAGAAAUUUACACGUUUUCUCAUUCCAUUCCCGUGGAGCUGGGCUGGAUGAGAAGAAACUCUUAUGUCCAGUUUUGCAGUAGUAAUAGGACAUUAAGCAGUAAAAAAAUAGCAUAUGAUAUGUGCAAGUGAUGUCGAAUGUACAUAGGUGUAAAUCGAAAUCAAAUUCUGAUUGCAGGGCGCCUCUUGUUAGGUAGCCAAAAAGUGGAAAAUUGAAUUGAACUUGUUUCAAGUGCCCAUUUGUUUCAAGGGAACAAAAUAACAAGGAAAAAAUAGAGGUUGAAUGACAGCAAGUGUCUUACUGUUCCUUUCCCUUCUUCAACCACAUUGCACUCAUCUACUUCAUCGCUAAUGCAAAAAACCCGGAUCAGCAAUCAGACCAUUCCGUCACAAACUGGUCACAAAGUGUAGUAAAAAUAAAUAAAUUAAAUGCAACAAUUAUAUAGGGAAAGCUAACCUGAAUACCAACAUAGGUACACAGGUAGAAAUCAAACUCAUAAUCUUUGAAAUAUGUGAACAAAGCAAUUUAAGGACACCAAGGUUGAAUAAAAUAGACCGCGGCAAUAGAAAAUGAAAAGGCUAAUGCACUCAAACAACUACUUCGACCUGAAGAUGGAAAGAAACAACUCGUCUAACACACACAUACAAUAACUGAAUACUAAUUUAUUUUUUAACAUGGAAUAAAGUGGAAAAAUAUCUCAGUCAAAAACAUAACUCGCACCUGAAUAAGCAUGGUGAAUUAAAUAUCUUCAGAAGGAGGCCAUUCCUUCACACAGUAACGGGCUUCGGGCUUCUGUUCUUCGUUUGACAUAGCA
RNAcentral lists this long non-coding RNA (1036 nucleotides) under Triticum aestivum (bread wheat). RNAcentral describes it as "long non-coding RNA (TAES_LNC020235)". Lineage: Eukaryota; Viridiplantae; Streptophyta; Magnoliopsida; Poales; Poaceae. The record is from RNAcentral.